RNAcentral lists this long non-coding RNA (391 nucleotides) under Fukomys damarensis (Damara mole-rat). RNAcentral describes it as "lncRNA (ENSFDAG00000023373.1)". The record is from RNAcentral. Lineage: Eukaryota; Metazoa; Chordata; Mammalia; Rodentia; Bathyergidae.
GAAAAUGAGAAAUUCCCCUGGAAGACUUCUCUUCACAGAGAGCAAGACAUCCCAGGAUAAUGAAAGGAGGCCCUGCAAGCAGCGCCGUGGCCCCGUACUCACUGUAGCAACAGGAGCCCUGCUUUCAGCUGCUGUCUGUGCUUCAGGGCCACACAGGAAGGGACUCAGCAUCAAACGGAGUGUGCACCCCACAAAUUGCAGAAAUAAUAUUCUUGAUCCGAGUGUGGGUAUUUAAAAUGAGUGUCAACUGCCAACCUCUCCUGUAACCCCGCCCACUUCAAACCGGAAACUCCCCUACGUGCACCGGAACUCCUGCCCUUUCUCUGUACUGAUAAGCAGGUGCUGCCUUGUGGACUGGGUUCCUGCAUACCCUCAUUGUAAAGCAAUCCAC